RNAcentral lists this ribosomal RNA (253 nucleotides) under uncultured bacterium. Its description in RNAcentral is "partial 16S ribosomal RNA". It matches the Rfam family "Bacterial small subunit ribosomal RNA", at positions 524 to 776 of the family's 1533-position model. The record is from RNAcentral.
UACGUAGGGAGCAAGCGUUGUCCGGAAUCAUUGGGCGUAAAGCGCGCGUAGGCGGCUCGAUCAGUCUGUUGUGAAAGUCAAAGGCUCAACCUUUGAAUGCCGAUGGAUACUGUCGAGCUAGAGUCCGGAAGAGGCGGGUGGAAUUCCUGGUGUAGCGGUGGAAUGCGCAGAUAUCAGGAGGAACACCGGUGGCGAAGGCGGGACUCUGGGCCGAUACUGACGCUGAGGAGCGAAAGCGUGGGGAGCGAACAGG